This 467-nucleotide ribosomal RNA is filed under the name uncultured bacterium. RNAcentral's name for it is "partial 16S ribosomal RNA". It matches the Rfam family "Bacterial small subunit ribosomal RNA", at positions 28 to 507 of the family's 1533-position model. The record is from RNAcentral.
GACGAACGCUGGCGGCGUGCUUAACACAUGCAAGUCGAACGGAAAGGCCUGCCUUUGUGGGGUGCUCGGGUGGCGAACGGGGGGGUAACACGUGGGUUACCUGGCCUUGGCUUUGGGGUAACUUUAGGGAACUGGGGCUAAUUCCGGGUAGGGGCUCCUGGUGGCUGGGGGGGGGUGGGAAGUUUCGGCGGUUGGGGAUGGACUCGCGGCUUAUCAGCUUGUUGGUGGGGUAGUGGCUUACCAAGGCUUUGACGGGUAGCCGGCCUGAGAGGGUGACCGGCCACAUUGGGACUGAGAUACGGCCCAGACUCCUACGGGAGGCAGCAGUGGGGAAUAUUGCACAAUGGGCGGAAGCCUGAUGCAGCAACGCCGCGUGCGGGAUGACGGCCUUCGGGUUGUAAACCGCUUUCGCCUGUGACGAAGCGUGAGUGACGGUAAUGGGUAAAGAAGCACCGGCUAACUACGUG